Molecule: ribosomal RNA, 1343 nt
Filed under: uncultured bacterium
Lineage: Bacteria
Description: 16S ribosomal RNA
Rfam family: Bacterial small subunit ribosomal RNA
Source: RNAcentral
GACGAACGCUGGCGGCGUGCUUAACACAUGCAAGUCGAACGGAAAGGCCCUGCUUUUGUGGGGUGCUCGAGUGGCGAACGGGUGAGUAACACGUGAGUAACCUGCCCUUGACUUUGGGAUAACUUCAGGAAACUGGGGCUAAUACCGGAUAGGAGCUCCUGCUGCAUGGUGGGGGUUGGAAAGUUUCGGCGGUUGGGGAUGGACUCGCGGCUUAUCAGCUUGUUGGUGGGGUAGUGGCUUACCAAGGCUUUGACGGGUAGCCGGCCUGAGAGGGUGACCGGCCACAUUGGGACUGAGAUACGGCCCAGACUCCUACGGGAGGCAGCAGUGGGGAAUAUUGCACAAUGGGCGGAAGCCUGAUGCAGCAACGCCGCGUGCGGGAUGACGGCCUUCGGGUUGUAAACCGCUUUCGCCUGUGACGAAGCGUGAGUGACGGUAAUGGGUAAAGAAGCACCGGCUAACUACGUGCCAGCAGCCGCGGUGAUACGUAGGGUGCGAGCGUUGUCCGGAUUUAUUGGGCGUAAAGGGCUCGUAGGUGGUUGAUCGCGUCGGAAGUGUAAUCUUGGGGCUUAACCCUGAGCGUGCUUUCGAUACGGGUUGACUUGAGGAAGGUAGGGGAGAAUGGAAUUCCUGGUGGAGCGGUGGAAUGCGCAGAUAUCAGGAGGAACACCAGUGGCGAAGGCGGUUCUCUGGGCCUUUCCUGACGCUGAGGAGCGAAAGCGUGGGGAGCGAACAGGCUUAGAUACCCUGGUAGUCCACGCUGUAAACGGUGGGUACUAGGUGUGGGGUCCAUUCCACGGGUUCCGUGCCGUAGCUAACGCUUUAAGUACCCCGCCUGGGGAGUACGGCCGCAAGGCUAAAACUCAAAGGAAUUGACGGGGCCCCGCACAAGCGGCGGAGCAUGCGGAUUAAUUCGAUGCAACGCGUAGAACCUUACCUGGGUUUGACAUGGAUCGGGAGUGCUCAGAGAUGGGUGUGCCUCUUUUGGGGUCGGUUCACAGGUGGUGCAUGGCUGUCGUCAGCUCGUGUCGUGAGAUGUUGGGUUAAGUCCCGCAACGAGCGCAACCCUUGUUCACUGUUGCCAGCACGUUAUGGUGGGGACUCAGUGGAGACCGCCGGGGUCAACUCGGAGGAGGGUGGGGAUGACGUCAAGUCAUCAUGCCCCUUAUGUCCAGGGCUUCACGCAUGCUACAAUGGCUGGUACAGAGAGUGGCGAGCCUGUGAGGGUGAGCGAAUCUCGGAAAGCCGGUCUCAGUUCGGAUUGGGGUCUGCAACUCGACCUCAUGAAGUCGGAGUCGCUAGUAAUCGCAGAUCAGCAACGCUGCGGUGAAUACGUUCCCGGG